AGAGUUUGAUCAUGGCUCAGAACGAACGCUGGCGGCAUGCCUAACACAUGCAAGUCGAACGAAGUCUUCGGACUUAGUGGCGCACGGGUGCGUAACGCGUGGGAAUCUGCCCUUAGGUACGGAAUAACUCAGGGAAACUUGUGCUAAUACCGUAUGAUGUCUUCGGACCAAAGAUUUAUCGCCUAGGGAUGAGCCCGCGUUGGAUUAGCUAGUUGGUGGGGUAAAGGCCUACCAAGGCGACGAUCCAUAGCUGGUCUGAGAGGAUGAUCAGCCACACUGGGACUGAGACACGGCCCAGACUCCUACGGGAGGCAGCAGUGGGGAAUAUUGGACAAUGGGCGAAAGCCUGAUCCAGCAAUGCCGCGUGAGUGAUGAAGGCCUUAGGGUUGUAAAGCUCUUUUACCCGGGAAGAUAAUGACUGUACCGGGAGAAUAAGCCCCGGCUAACUCCGUGCCAGCAGCCGCGGUAAU
This 470-nucleotide ribosomal RNA is filed under the name uncultured bacterium. RNAcentral describes it as "bacterial SSU rRNA". It matches the Rfam family "Bacterial small subunit ribosomal RNA", at positions 8 to 524 of the family's 1533-position model. The record is from RNAcentral.